GACAGAGGGUGCAAACGUUGUUCGGAAUCACUGGGCGUAAAGGGCGCGUAGGUGGUCUUGUAAGUCUGUGGUGAAAGCCCGGGGCUCAACCCCGGGUCUGCCGUGGAUACUGUGAGACUCGAGUACUGUAGAGGCGGGUAGAAUGCCGGGUGUAGCGGUGGAAUGCGUAGAGAUCCGGCAGAAGACCGGUGGCGAAGGCGGCCCGCUGGGCAGUAACUGGACACUGAGGCGCGACAGCGUGGGGAGCAAACAGGG
Molecule: ribosomal RNA, 255 nt
Filed under: uncultured bacterium
Lineage: Bacteria
Description: partial 16S ribosomal RNA
Rfam family: Bacterial small subunit ribosomal RNA
Source: RNAcentral